RNAcentral lists this ribosomal RNA (461 nucleotides) under uncultured bacterium. Its description in RNAcentral is "bacterial SSU rRNA". It matches the Rfam family "Bacterial small subunit ribosomal RNA", at positions 29 to 518 of the family's 1533-position model. The record is from RNAcentral.
AUGAACGCUGGCGGCGUGCCUAACACAUGCAAGUCGAGCGAUUACUUCGGUAAAGAGCGGCGGACGGGUGAGUAACGCGUGGGUAACCUGCCUCAUACACAUGGAUAACAUACCGAAAGGUAUGCUAAUACAGGAUAAUAUAAGAGAUUCACAUGGAUUCUUAUCAAAGCUCCGGCGGUAUGAGAUGGACCCGCGUCUGAUUAGCUAGUUGGUAAGGUAAUGGCUUACCAAGGCGACGAUCAGUAGCCGACCUGAGAGGGUGAUCGGCCACAUUGGAACUGAGACACGGUCCAAACUCCUACGGGAGGCAGCAGUGGGGAAUAUUGCACAAUGGGCGAAAGCCUGAUGCAAGCAACGCCGCGUGAGUGAUGAAGGCCUUCGGGUCGUAAAACUCUGUCCUCAAGGAAGAUAAUGACGGUACUUGAGGAGGAAGCCCCGGCUAACUACGUGCCAGCAGCUGC